GCUAUGCAAUUAGCCAAUGGACUUAUUAAUUUGGCUAGAUUUUAAUAAAUUGAUUAAAAUGUCAAUUAAUUUAGGUUAUCUCUUAAAUAGUUUAAUUCCCAACACAAAAUAAAUGUGUAAAUCUACUCCAUGCCCAAAUUUUGGCUGAUCCAUACAGCCCAACAACAAUUAAAAGCCCUCACCUUAAUUCUAAUUCAACCUACCAGCCUAACAGCUUCAUCAAACAACCCAACAGCCCACAACCUGACUCGGCCCAACUAUAUUUCCCCUUUUUCUUUUACAGCAAACAACAGCUUCCACAAUAUCAACAAAAACCAACGCACAGUAACACAGCCGAGAACAACGACAAUCAAUGCAAUGCCGAACAACGCUAAAACCACCGAACAUCGGGAAAUCCGGUGGUUUUUAACCUCUCUCCUUGUUUAUCUUAUCUGGUCAUCCGAGAUUUCAGCCUGUCUCCAUCAACAUCUUUUCAAUGCUCUUUCUCUUCCUAUUUUUCUGAAAAAAAUCAAACCAAAAGGGAUUGUUUUUCUCCACUGCAGACCUCUGAGAAGAGAAAUAUAUGGAAAUUCGAUGCUCUUUGGGGUGUUGUUUCUUUGAUUCAGUGGACAAACAAUUGCUCACCUUGAAGAACCCAAUUGGUCAAAAAUCAAAUCUCCUCAAUCUCAAUCUUUCAAAUUUACUCGGAAAAGACCACUCUCACCGUUACCUUUCGUCGUUCAAACUCGGUGAAAAGUUAGUGGUGGAACUGCUGGUCGGCUUGGCUUCCUGGUUCGCUGCCCCAAAAAAGGUGAGAACUUUCUCCCUAAUCUCCUUCGUAUGACUGAAAACUAUGAUGUGAAAAUUGGUUGUGUUUAUUGUCGUUUUAUCGCUGAUUUGAUUGUGCUGUUCGGGAGUAGCAUCCAAAGACUUGUAUUAGGAUUAUUUGAUAUGAUUUCACCCUUUUAUUCUUAGGUAGUCCACAGUCCACAGAGAAUAUUCCGACUGAUUUUCAUUGUCAUAUCCCACAUAAUUGGACCUACUGUUUAUUCCUGAAAUAGUUUAAUGUGGUUUUUCAUUCUAUUUGAGAUAACACCUUAAAGCAACCCUGUAACUGAAAAUUUUACAAAUUUCACCUGCUAGACAUAACUCAUGCUAAUUUGUAACAUAGUUUACUAGUGACUUGCUUCAUGUUGAUUAUUACAUAGUGUGAUGUUUAUAGUUCCACUUGUCCGAAGUUUCCCGUAUGUUGAAAAAUUUAGCUUUAAGAGAGAUCGUGACCUUGAAAAUGCACUAAUUACCUGUUUUUAUGUUGUGAAUUUUUUUGUUUAUCAUUGGGAUGCAACAGCUCUUGAGAAUUUAACUCAAUUGUUUAUGACAUCCGUGAUUGACCUCUUUUAAUAAAGUUUGAAUCAAUGAAGUUCUGAAAAAUGUGUUUUUUCAUAAACUUAACCAAGAAAUCCUUUCCGUAAGUUAGAUUUGUCAAAGUUGAGCCUCUUUCCUCUUGAAACGGUUGUUUGAGCAUGAGUAUGACAUUUUAUCUGUUGCUGCCCGGAUUUUAAGUAGAUAUGAUCCCGAUCUUCUCUUGAUGUAUGUUAUUGUUCACCAUUACCUGUAACUAGGCCAAAAACACCUGUGUAUUUCUUUUUAAUGAUAGGUUGUUAGGAGUUAGGACCAACAAAGAUUUAUCCCACUUUAGACAUAUUCAGGGGUGUGGUAAAUAAAUCAAUAAAUAAAUAAAUAAAUAAAUGUUUAAGAUAUUUUAUUAAGCUGUUUUAUUCUUUUUAGCCUUUUUCCUUGCUUGAUAAGUUUCACCCAUAUGUGCUUUCUAUGAGCUACUUAAUGAAUGCAUUAAUUUGUUUGUGAUAUGUACUACUUGCAAUCUAAGUACCAAAAUUAUGGUUUAUGUUUUGUGUGAAUAAAUUGUUCUCUAAUUGACUGUUGUUCAAAUGUAAGCAGAAAUAUUCAUGAUCAAUAUAUCUCUAAGUGGUUGUUGGUGUUUUUUCCAAGAUUAUAUAUUUCUACGCAUUGCUUAUAAUGAGAGGUAAUAUAGCUUAGGGUAGAUAAGAGGAUGUGAAGGUUGGAUAUUAGGAUAGAAGGUGUAGAUAUCCAAAGUUAUACUAGGGUUUUCUUCAUUAGCUAUAUUUUUGAAUUAGUAGCACCUAUGUUUACACUGUUGCUAUAACAUUUUAGUAGUAAAGUUGUUUUAUCCUCCAAAACCCUGACACCAUGAAAAUAUAUUUGCAUAUAUUUGAUUUAUGUGGGAAUAUUUAAAUCGUUCGUACGUAUCAUUUUCCUUUAUCGUGUUUAAUCAUGUUCUUUCUUCAUCGAAACUCACAUACUAAUCUUUUUUUUAUCCCAUUUAUGCAUGAACCUCCUCAUCGAGUCCAUCGGACUCCCAUCUAUCGCUUUCCGUUGGGUUAAACCCAACCCCCAUCGAGUCAAGCUUCAUUAAAGUCCAAAAAUGGACUUAUAUACGCAAGACAACACUGUUAUACAGAUGAUAUACAUUAGGAGGCAGCAGCUGCACAUUGUACCGUGGUUCAUGACGAAAAAUGGAGUCGAAAUACGCAGCUUACCGCUCUGAUAUACACCGUAUAUGCAGUGGUAUUCCCAAAAACGCAGACAAUAAGCUGCUGAGAUACAGAAGAUAUACAAGGGCAAAAAAUGGGCUAAAGUCCAUGGAAUUGGUCCAAAAUUGACAGAUUUUUUAAUGGGCCAAAAGGAGCCCAAUUCUCACUCUCCUCUCUUUAAUUAUGGAAAAAAAAAAUCUAAAUAUACCUCCUUAGAUUAUAAAUUGCAAGUCGUAGCAAAACUUCUUAGAUUGCAACUAAUAACAAGUUUUUUAAAAAAUAAAAUAAUAAUAAUUUAAAACAAACAAAAUUAAAAAUAAAACAUUUUUUUAUAUGCUAAUUAAAAAAACUUUCAUUUUAAUAGGAGUUAGUUAGUAUGUGAGCUAAAAUUAUGGAACCUAUUAAUGUGCAUGUUUUUUUCUAUUUCUUAAAUUAUAUUUAUAUUCAUUUUUUAAAAAGAAAAACAAAUACUUCUUUUUACAUAAUUCAUUCUUACUCAAUUUCUAUUUUAAUUUCUAAUUGAUGAAUUUUGAAUUCACAAUAGAAUUGGUGAUAGUAAAUAUUAUAUGUUAAUAAUUUAUUUUAAAUUUGUGAAUUGUAUUCAACCUAUUAUUCAUGUAUUAUUUUAUACCGUUAAGCUAAAUUAAUUUAUAUAUAAUAAAGUCAUAUUUUAAAUAAUUUUUUAUUUUUGGUUUCUCAAUUUAUGAAAUUUGUAUAUAAAAUUCUAUAUAAAUGAUAUAUUUUUUAACUGUUUCUAGUGUAUGAAAAUGGUUCAUAAUAUGAUAUCCACGAAUUAGUUUAAUAAAUUUUAUCAAAGUCAUUUUAUACUCUUGUCAUACUUAAAGGUUUUUUUUUUUUAAGGGGGUGGGGGUCUCAAUGUAUGAAAUUGACAUUAAAAUUGGUAUUGAUGAAGUUUCG
Long non-coding RNA from Capsicum annuum, 3470 nucleotides. RefSeq lists it as uncharacterized. The record is from RefSeq and is a predicted model, not a curated record. The transcript is spliced from 2 exons. NCBI's taxonomy places the organism in Eukaryota, Viridiplantae, Streptophyta, Magnoliopsida, Solanales, Solanaceae.